Molecule: ribosomal RNA, 384 nt
Filed under: uncultured bacterium
Lineage: Bacteria
Description: bacterial SSU rRNA
Rfam family: Bacterial small subunit ribosomal RNA
Source: RNAcentral
GACGAACGCUGGCGGCGUGCCUAACACAUGCAAGUCGAACGGGGGUAGCAAUACCUCAGUGGCGAACGGGUGCGUAACACGUGAAGAAUUUGUCCAACGGCGGGGGAGUAGCCGGCCCAACGGCCGGGUAAUACCGCGUACGACCUUUGGGGGCGAUCCCUCGGAGGUGAAAGCCGCAAGGCGCCGAUGGAGAACUUCGCGGCCUAUCAGCUAGUUGGUGAGGUCAUGGCUCACCAAGGCGACGACGGGUAGCUGGUCCGAGAGGAUGACCAGCCACAUUGGGACGUGAGACACGGCCCAGACUCCUACGGGAGGCAGCAGUGGGGAAGUAUUGCGCAAUGGGCGAAAGCCUGACGCAGCGACGCCGCGUGUGGGAUGACGGCC